UUCGGUCAAGUUGAACGGAUGACUUAGUGGCGGACGGGUGAGUAACGCGUGAGGAACCUGCCUCAUACAGGGGGAUAACAGUUAGAAAUGACUGCUAAUACCGCAUAAGCGCACGGCAUCGCAUGAUGCAGUGUGAAAAACUCCGGUGGUAUAAGAUGGACCCGCGUCUGAUUAGCUAGUUGGUGAGGUAACGGCCCACCAAGGCGACGAUCCAUAGCCGACCUGAGAGGGUGACCGGCCACAUUGGGACUGAGACACGGCCCAAACUCC
This 270-nucleotide ribosomal RNA is filed under the name uncultured Eubacteriales bacterium. RNAcentral describes it as "uncultured Clostridiales bacterium partial 16S ribosomal RNA". It matches the Rfam family "Bacterial small subunit ribosomal RNA", at positions 58 to 339 of the family's 1533-position model. Lineage: Bacteria; Bacillati; Bacillota; Clostridia; Eubacteriales. The record is from RNAcentral.